ACGGGAGGCAGCAGUGGGGAAUCUUGCCCAAUGGGCGAAAGCCUGAGGCAGCGACGCCGCGUGCGGGAAGAAGGCCUUCGGGUUGUAAACCGCUUUCAGGAGGGACGAAGCCACUCGGGUUAAUAGCCCAGAGGGUGACGGUACCUCCAGAAGAAGCCCCGGCUAACUACGUGCCAGCAGCCGCGGUAAUACGUAGGGGGCUAGCGUUGUCCGGAUUUAUUGGGCGUAAAGAGCGUGUAGGCGGCCAGGUAGGUCCGCUGUGAAAACUCGAGGCUCAACCUCGAGAGGUCGGUGGAAACCAUCUGGCUAGAGUCCGGAAGAGGAGAGUGGAAUUCCCGGUGUAGCGGUGAAAUGCGCAGAUAUCGGGAAGAAUAUCCGUGGCGAAGGCGGCUCUCUGGGACGGUACUGACGCUGAGACGCGAAAGCGUGGGGAGCGAACAGGAUUAGAUACCCUGGUA
RNAcentral lists this ribosomal RNA (458 nucleotides) under uncultured Gaiellales bacterium. RNAcentral describes it as "bacterial SSU rRNA". It matches the Rfam family "Bacterial small subunit ribosomal RNA", at positions 341 to 792 of the family's 1533-position model. The record is from RNAcentral. Lineage: Bacteria; Bacillati; Actinomycetota; Thermoleophilia; Gaiellales.